Molecule: long non-coding RNA, 1225 nt
Organism: Talpa occidentalis (Iberian mole)
Lineage: Eukaryota; Metazoa; Chordata; Mammalia; Eulipotyphla; Talpidae
Exons: 3
Source: RefSeq, a predicted model, not a curated record
GCUCUUUUCCUGAGUCUGCCCACCUGUGUCUAUGCAGGCGUCUCUUAAUAAACCAGUUCCUUCCAGGGCAGCUCUCCUCUCCACCUAUGACAAUGGAGGUCCCUCUCAUUUUCUUUCUCUAUUUCCCUACAAACCUGCCCUUUUGGAUAUUCUCUGCCUCACGGGGAAAUUUGCUGUGUGCUGCUGAAAGGGGAGCUCUGGUGAGACUUUUCUCAGGUAACCCAAGGACCUGCUCUCACCAGCAUCAGUCACACGAAGCAAUCCUGCUGUCGAGCUUUCGAGGAAGGAGGCUGGGCUGCAUUUUGAGCCUUUUCAGUGUGAGGAGACUGUGGGACAUUAAAAUGGAGGCAAAGUUCCCUUGGAAAUAAUAAGCCGGGAGAGAAACUGGCUGAGCGCGGAGCCGUGGGUCCUAACAAGGAAAGACAGAAGAAGAGGAGGCAGCAAAGGAGUCAGAAAGAGUGGACAAGAGAAACAAGUCACAGAGCAUUUUGACUUACCCAUAGUUAAGGCAGUGAACCUCACUAAUGCAGUGAACCUUCCGAUUCUUCAUCAGCUCCUCAGGUAAUGACACUAGCGAGAAGGAGGUUUGGCUUCACGAGAAAGGGCACACCACAGGCAAAGACCCUGUGAGGAGAGAUCUUAUCAAAGAGAGAAUCAAAGGAAGCUUCUGUGUUACGAUUUCCCAGACAACUUUUUGGAAUUCUGAAACAUGGAGCCAGAUUCCUGACCAUCAUGAUGAGGGUAUGCACUAAUGAUUGCUCCAAAAUAUCUCCAGGCUGUGUGGGCAAAAGCCAAACAGAUCUGUCACCUUUUCUUUGUGUUUUCAGAAGUUGAAGAUCCUUGUCACUUUUUUUAAUGUGUAAAUGUUGCUUGUUCAUCCUCUUGCCCAGAGGCAUACUUUGGGGAUUCAUAGGUAAACAGGAAAUACUUUCAACAGAACUCUAAAAAAUCGUUCUACUUUGGCAUAAGGACUUCAAAAAAACCUCAGUCAUUCAAGAAGCUGGAUCACCCUUUUUAUCAGAUGAAAAAUAAAUAUGGCAAUAUUGCUAAGAUGGUUAUUGUUAAAACUAAAUCCAGAAAUUGUAUGUGAUAGUGUUAUAUAAGAACACUGUCAAGGACGAUUUUCUCACAAAUAUCCCACUUCUGAAUUUAAUAUGAAUCUGUAAUAUAAGAGUGUUUUGUUGUUGAAAAUGCAAAUUGAAAUAGAGAUGGACUUAAGUCAGGA